This 30-nucleotide non-coding RNA is filed under the name Homo sapiens (human). The record is from RNAcentral. Lineage: Eukaryota; Metazoa; Chordata; Mammalia; Primates; Hominidae.
UGCUCACGUCCAGUUUAAUCUGGUGGAUGU